This 5110-nucleotide long non-coding RNA is filed under the name Xyrichtys novacula (pearly razorfish). Lineage: Eukaryota; Metazoa; Chordata; Actinopteri; Labriformes; Labridae. The record is from RNAcentral.
GGUUUCUACCCGUUAAAGGGAAGUUUUUCCUUGCCACUGUCACUUAUGUUGGAUGGGAUGAGUCAAAUCUGUCCCAUUUUAAGAUUGGGUCUUUAUAAGACAUAACAAAAUGAGUGAAUGAUGCUGUCCUCUACAUGCCAGAAUGAGUGCGACUGUUGUGAUUUGUCGCUUUAUAAAUAAAAAAUUGAUUGAUUGAUUUAAACUGAUAACCAUAUGAAUGUGUUCAGGUCUUGAUCCUUACCAUGCAUGGUGAGUGUAGGUUAUAUUGGAGCAUGCUUGCAUGAGAUAAACCUACUUCCUGUGUCACGGCUAGUCAUAAUUAUAAUGCAGGUUCUCAUUGAUAUUAGUAUCUUCUUUUCUACCAAUAUUAUCAGAUAAAACAAUAUACAAGGAGGAAGGUCAUCAUUGGUAUUUGAAAAUAUUUCCAAAAUUAGCAGGAUAAGGUCUUGUUUUAAAGCUGUUUGUAUGUAUUUAUCCCCACUGGCUAAAAUGAGCUCUGAUAUUAUGAGAUCUGUGACGUAACUUUAUUGCAGCUUGAGCUGACUGUCAAUACAAACUGAUUAUCACUGAAAUAUAAACUUGUGUGCGUGUGUGUGUGUGUGUGUGUGUGUGUGUGUGUGUGUGUGUGUGUGUGUGUGUGUGUGUGUUGCCCUCUCAGCAGCUGGCCUGUCUCUAAUUGCUUCCAUCUUGCAGCUACAGUAAGAAUCUGCUCUCCAUCCACAGACUGAGCGGAUCAUACAACUGAAAACUGAGGAGCCGUCACAAAUAAUUCAACCCAAUGUGUGUGUGUGUGUGUGUGUGUCAGUGAGAGAGAGAGAGAGAGAGAGAGAGAGAGAGAGAGAGAGAGAGAGAGAAAGAGAGUCUGUGUGAGGGAGGAGGGUGUGUUGAUGAACCUGUGUGGGUUUGCACUCACACUUAAGAAAAUAGUGUUUUUCCAGGAGCUGCAUUUCAUGUGGCAGCGACAGGAAGUCGUUCAGCGGCAGGUAAAUCAAGGAAAGUGCUCCUAAGAGAUGUCGGUGGCCGACCCCCUCUGCAUUUGUCUCCGUCAAUGACAGCUCACUUCUUUUUGCCCUGCCCACUCCCCUCUUCAGGAGGAGAGUGAUCAGAGCAGGGACUCCAAGUGCGAACAUCAGCAAUGUAAGAUUAACAGGAUUAAUCAGCUAAAACAAUUUCUGUGACAGACACAGAAAUGAGACACAACAGACAGGGAGGUUUGAGAUGCUUUGCAUUCUGUGUCAGCUCUGGAGGAGGAUGCAAGUUGUGUGUUGUAAUGGAUUUGGAUUUCUGUCAGCUCUCCUCCAUCCGAAACACUUAUACUUCUAACAAAAUAUGCCAAAUUAUGAGGAAAAAGUUGGAAGAAUAGAUGAAAUUUAAAAUAGAACAGGUCUAAAAACUAUGCAGCCUUGGUGGUUCUCUCUGAGUUUUAAAUCACAGAGAAAAAACACAGCAAAUUGAAGCCUCAGGAAUAAACUCUGUCAGAGUUAAAAUCAACUCAAUCUGAGUGUACAUGUGAGACCAUUGAAUGGACUCCAAAGCUGAGUUAAAUCUGUUCUGGGAGUUGAUAUUUAACUCUCAUUGGGAGUUAAAACUGAACUCUAUUGGAAGUUAAUAUACAACUCUCAUUAGGAGUAAAAUUAACUCUUAUAUUUAAUUUAACAUAGUCUGACUAUUUUUCAGUGUUUAUACUCAACACUUUAUUUGAGUUAAACACUAAUGGAGCUUAUAUUUAGAGAUACUAAAAUGGUUUUACAGUGAAAAUCAAUACAAAAACACCACAUAAAUUACUUCAAUAUGUUUAUUUGAAUAAGAAUAAGGAGAAAACCCCAAGGGGAAAUUCAAUUGUCUGUUGUCUCACAUAAUAUGUCUCACAAAGUUAUCUUUUAUUUACACAAGAGUUAAAAAGCUUGAUGGCUGUAGGUACAAAAGAUCUUUUGAAUCUUUCUGUCCUGCAGUGAAGAGACAGGAGCCAUCCACCACCAUUGGUCCUUUGGUCCAUCAAGGUGUUGUGAAGUGGGUGAUCCAUGUUCUUUAGAACAGUCUCCACCUUCCUUGGUGUACAUCUCUCCACCACAUCCUCCACUGAGUCCAGCUUGAGUCCAACCACAGAGCCAGCCUUUUUCACCAGUUUGUUAAGAGGUCUCUCAUCUUUGUGUUUGAUGCUUCCUCCCCAGCAGACUGCAGCGUAGAACAGAACACUUGCCACCACAGACUGAUAAAACAUCUGCAGCAUCUUGCUACAGAUCAGUGGUAGCCAGUAUAUAAGGGCGCUGCGGGCAAGCGCAUCAUUUGAAUGCCGUUAACAACAUUUCAGCAUGACUACAUGAAUCUGUAACAAGCCAUCACCUCAUAAAAAUGCACUGUUACAAUUUCUUGUAACAGUGCAAAUAAAACUCUAGAGUUUUACCCUAACUCGAUGUUACGGUGUGUUUGACCCUAACUUAAUUUUACACCAGAAUAUCCCUUUAAAUACAGAAUUGUGAUAAUUUGUGGGAAAUCUGUCUUGAAGUGUAACCAGUGUGCUGAUUCUUCAAUUGAAUUACAGAAGUUUCAACAGCAGCUGAAUUUUUUUAACUGUUAUUACCUCACAAAAACAGACUCAAAAGAAAAACUCCCUUCCGUUGAGUGCCCACUGAGCUUAAAUGUUUAACACUUUAAAUAAGACAACUUUCUGACACAACAUAAAUAUGUGAAUCACACCUUUAGGACAUUUGAACAUCAAAAGGCUUCAAGUGUUUUAAUCGCCUUCUCUCAAGAACCAGAAUUGUCCUUGGGAAGUUUUCACUUACUUGGAAAGCAUGAAAGUGGUCAUGAAAACAAGUUUCAUGUUCAACAAGAACAAAAAACACUUCACCAUUGUGCAAAAUAAUAGAGGUUAUUUUUCUGAACACUGGUGUGUGUUCAUCAGAGCCUGUGCAAACAAAAAGGCCAACGCAGUAUUCAACUCGAUCACACUUCACCCAGUUAGUCAGUUUGACAGUGGCUUUUGGAUCAAUGUGAAGAUAUGAGUGUUAGGUUUAAAACCUGCAACAUUUACCUGAUAACAUAUAAAGAAGAGAAAGACAAUGGUAUAUACUCGAGGAGAAUGGACCGAGAUAGCUUCAGGUACCAUCUCGAAACCACUCUGAAAGGUAUUUCCGCCCAGUCUCUUUUAUUUAGGGUUGUCCCUGGUUACACAAUGUUUCUAAAAGGGUGGGGGUAAAUGUGCUGCAAAGUAAGCAUUUCAUAGAACAUAAUAAUGAACAAUUUGUGAAUAGCUGAAGGUCAAGGCGGCAUCUAACGAGCUCCUUCUGAUAAGCGUGUAUCCUUCCCAGAACCUCCCCACGAUUCAUCCUCGGAGGAUACGUCACACACACCUGCUGAUAGGAGAAACAAGUUCACAGAGAAGUUAAGAAACAUUCAUGUGCUGUGUAAUUAAGCUAUUGGAGAGAGAAGUUAGAAAACACUCAUAUGAUAAAAAUACUCUUAUAUGAUGUAUAAAAAGAGGUCAAAGGAGUUUAUACUAUAAGAAUAUGAGGAAUAAUGAUAACUUCUAUAUACAUUUAUGCACAUUAUUCUAACAAUGAGGACACAUCUUUUUUACACUCUAGUGCAGGGGUUGGACCAAAAAAAAACAAAAAAAAACCCAAAUCUGUCUGGAGAAUUAAACAAAAAAUUAAAAGCCUUAUAUAAGCCUUAUAUGAAGGCAACUGUGGUGAGACGCCUCCUCAUCUUGUUUUAUUUUGGCUGGACUUCCUUUGUUUCCCUGUUUGCCUUUACUCUUUUCUAGGGCUUCCUCCCCUCCCCCAGCGCUGAGGCUGAGUGAGACCACACACCUGCUCCACAUCUCCAAUCAAGGCACUUUAAGAAGCCUGCAGCCCUCAGUCUCAGCGCCUGAGUACUGUCUACCCUGCCUAGCGGUAAAGACGCGUCUCCUGGCCAAACCUUCGUUGGUAUAACCUUCAGAACUUUGCUCCUAGUGACUAUUUUCAUGUUCAUUAACUCCUGUCUCCUCUGUUUUUUUCCUGCAGUGUCUCCAGCCCACACGACAGCCAGCCAACCAGCCAACCGGACAUCCUCGUUUGCAUUUUCAACCUUUUGUUCGACAUUAAAACUACACCUUAAGUUGAUCUCUGUCUCUGUGUCUGCUUCUGGGUCCUCACUACGAACCUGCCUCACAACAGCAACACAGGCUGUAAGUGUAUAUUCGCUAUAUUAGCCUACUAUCAAAAUGACUAAAUAGACUACAAAUACAUAAUGAGCAUUCAGGAUUUAAUGUUUAUUUUCCCUGCAGCGCAUCCUGGAGAGAAUGACACACUAUGUGACUACUCUGCUGUGCGAUAUAUGGUGCUUUAAGUUUAACUUCCAUUACAAUAUUAAUAUAUUAAGUUUUGUUGCAUUAAUAAAAUUAUAGAAAUACAGUAAAGAAAUCAUUUUUUGUGUCAUUUUUAUUUUGAGGAUUCGAAAAAAACAAAAACAGAAUGGAAUGUGCAUAAUAGGCAUCAAUGCAGUCCUCUUCAAACCUCAAUAACAAUACAAUCUUCCUCGUUUUUUUCCCUUAUCUGAGCAACAGAGCGCUAUAAAACGCCUGCAGUUAAAACACAGCCUGCAAUUAUACAAAUAAAACGGCAGCCUUCUUGAAAAGGUAAGUUGGCUAUAUAAAACGAAAAAAAAAGCCAGUUUAAUUUCGAUUUCAGGGCAUUUCUGUGCAUUAUCCUCUUAGUUUUCUGCAAAUGCCAAGUUAAGUAGCCUAAGUUAGUGCAAAUGAAUAAAAUGCAGAACAAUCCUUUUCCCCCUUAUGGCAGCAAAAGACACAAAUGAAGCGGCUUGCAAACAAGUAAUAAAACGGCCUGCAAUUAAAAGGCAGCUUGCUUAAAAAAUACAACACAGCAGACGAACUUUUUGAAAAUGUAAAGCAAAAAUUUAAAUAAGACAAUUUAAGUUUGAUCUCUGUGUAUUAUCCUCAUCUCUUUAGUUUUCUGCAAAUAUCAAGUAAGUCAGUGCAAGGGUACAACGCAGCAGCAUCCUGUUCUCUUUCCCCCCUUAUCUCAGCAACAGAAACGGACAAUACAGGCGCAGCAAUCCUCUGAUCUGAGCAAUAAAACACAAUAAUAUCCCUAAAUGUCAUUCCAAA